CCUACGGGCGGCAGCAGUAGGGAAUCUUCCACAAUGGGCGAAAGCCUGAUGGAGCAACGCCGCGUGGGUGAAGAAGGUCUUCGGAUCGUAAAACCCUGUUGUUAGAGAAGAAAGGGCGGGAGAGUAACUGUUCACGUUUCGACGGUAUCUAACCAGAAAGCCACGGCUAACUACGUGCCAGCAGCCGCGGUAAUACGUAGGUGGCAAGCGUUAUCCGGAGUUAUUGGGCGUAAAGGGAACGCAGGCGGUCUUUUAAGGCUGAUGUGAAGGCCUUCGGCUUAACCGGGGUAGUGCAUUGGAAACUGGGAGACUUGAGUGCAGAAGAGGAGAGUGGAACUCCAUGUGUAGCGGUGAAAUGCGUAGAUAUAUGGAAGAACACCAGUGGCGAAAGCGGCUCUCCGGUCUGUAACUGACGCUGAGGUGCGAAAGCGUGGGUAGCAAACAGGAUUAGAUACCCGGGUAGUC
RNAcentral lists this ribosomal RNA (465 nucleotides) under uncultured bacterium. RNAcentral's name for it is "partial 16S ribosomal RNA". It matches the Rfam family "Bacterial small subunit ribosomal RNA", at positions 338 to 795 of the family's 1533-position model. The record is from RNAcentral.